CAAUAGCGUAUACUAAAGUUGUUGCGGUAAAAAAGCUCGUAGUUGGAUUUCUGUUGAGAGCGACCGGUCCAUACCAUGUAUGCGUAUCUGGCUUGCUCUCGGCAUCCUCUCGAUAGACGUUACUGCGCUUGAUUGCGUGGUGCGGAUCUCGGGACUUUUACUUUGAGGAAAUUAGAGUGUUCACGGCAGGCUUUCGCCAGAAUACAUUAGCAUGGAAUAAUACUAUAGGAUCUUGGUUCUAUUUUGUUGGUUUCUAGAAUUGAGAUAAUGAUUAAUAGGGACAAUUGGGGGCAUUCGUAUCAACACGUCAGAGGUGGAAUUCUUGGAUUGUGUUGCGACGAACUACUGCGAAAGCAUUUGCCAAGGAUGUUUUCAUUGA
This 379-nucleotide ribosomal RNA is filed under the name uncultured eukaryote. RNAcentral's name for it is "partial 18S ribosomal RNA". It matches the Rfam family "Eukaryotic small subunit ribosomal RNA", at positions 592 to 976 of the family's 1831-position model. The record is from RNAcentral.